UUAACACAUCCGUUUCAUUGCACCUUAUUACAAUCUGUUAUGUUUAGCAGUAGUGAGUGAUGGUGGCUAUGUGGUUAUAGUAGUAGUACAGUUAGUUUGUGGUUUUGCUUGCAUUACUGCUGCUAUACUACUACUACUACUAGUAUCACUACUACUAUUCCCGUCGCUGCUGUUAAACAUAUUGUACACAACAUACACCUAUGUUUAGUACUACUACUUACACAUUAAUAAGUCAAAUCUAUUACAACCAAAAUAGAAAAUUUUCAACGAUGGAUAUCUUGGUUCCCAUAUCGAUGAAGAACGCAGCGAAGUGCGAUAAGCAGUGCGAAUUGCAGAAUUCCGCGAAUCAUCAGAUCUUUGAACGCAAGUUGCGCCGAGCAGUUCGCUGUUCGGCAUGUUUGUUUCAGUGUCGUAACAAUAACAUACCUCAAUGUGAUUGAUGCUUGAAAGUGUAUAUUGCUGCACUAUCAUGCAUCUUUCAUGAAAUGAGAAUGUGUAUGUACUAACACACAAUGAAGUAGUCACAUCAUGUGUUUCGGCACGUAAGUGUGAUCUCAUUGUUAGUGAUAGUAUACAUAUACACAUACAUAGAGUGUUUAAUAAACACACACACACACUUAUCACAUGGCAUCUGAAAUCAAGCAAGAUGACCCGCUGAACUUAAGCA
This 667-nucleotide ribosomal RNA is filed under the name Nassulides labiatus. Its description in RNAcentral is "eukaryotic LSU rRNA". The stretch from base 259 to 412 matches the Rfam family "5.8S ribosomal RNA". The record is from RNAcentral. Lineage: Eukaryota; Ciliophora; Nassophorea; Nassulida; Nassulidae.